AUUGAACGCUGGCGGCAGGCUUAACACAUGCAAGUCGAGCGGGGUGAUGGUGCUUGCACUAUCACUUAGCGGCGGACGGGUGAGUAAUGCUUAGGAAUCUGCCUAUUAGUGGGGGACAACAUCUCGAAAGGGAUGCUAAUACCGCAUACGUCCUACGGGAGAAAGCAGGGGAUCACUUGUGACCUUGCGCUAAGAGAUGAGCCUAAGUCGGAUUAGCUAGUUGGUGGGGUAAAGGCCUACCAAGGCGACGAUCUGUAGCGGGUCUGAGAAGAUGAACCGCCACAGUAGGACUGGAAAACGGCCCAGACUCCUACGGGAGGCAGCAGGGGGGAAUAUUGGACAAUGGGGGGAACCCUGAUCCAGCCAUGCCGCGUAUGUGAAGAAGGACAUAUGGUAGUAAAGCACUUUAAGCGAGGAGGAGGCUCUUUUGGUUAAUACCCAAGAUGAGUGGACGUUACUCGCAGAAUAAGCACCGGCUAACUCUGUGCCAGCAGCCGCGGUAA
This 503-nucleotide ribosomal RNA is filed under the name uncultured bacterium. RNAcentral's name for it is "partial 16S ribosomal RNA". It matches the Rfam family "Bacterial small subunit ribosomal RNA", at positions 30 to 523 of the family's 1533-position model. The record is from RNAcentral.